Molecule: ribosomal RNA, 279 nt
Filed under: uncultured bacterium
Lineage: Bacteria
Description: partial 16S ribosomal RNA
Rfam family: Bacterial small subunit ribosomal RNA
Source: RNAcentral
UGCCAGCCGCCGCGGUAAUACGAAAGGGGCUAGCGUUGUUCGGAAUUACUGGGCGUAAAGCGCGCGUAGGCGGCAUACCAAGUUGGGGGUGAAAUCCCGGGGCUCAACCCCGGAACUGCCUCCAAAACUGGUAAGCUAGAGGAUGUGAGAGGAUAGUGGAAUUCCGAGUGUAGAGGUGAAAUUCGUAGAUAUUCGGAAGAACACCAGUGGCGAAGGCGACUGUCUGGCACAUUUCUGACGCUGAGGUGCGAAAGCGUGGGGAGCAAACAGGAUUAGAUA